This is a long non-coding RNA of Octopus sinensis (East Asian common octopus), 641 nucleotides long. RefSeq lists it as uncharacterized. The transcript has 2 exons. The record is from RefSeq and is a predicted model, not a curated record. NCBI's taxonomy places the organism in Eukaryota, Metazoa, Mollusca, Cephalopoda, Octopoda, Octopodidae.
AUGUCCAUCUCUGUCAAGUAGUUGAUUACCAGGAUGGAAUUGUAGAAUGGUGUAUUGUCCUGGUGCAGGUAAUCUGGCCUUUUACGUACAAAUCUCUACUUAAUUCCACAUAAUCCCCACUCAAAGUAUUCUUUGUUGACCUCUGGCUAGAGGGAACUCAGUGGAUGUUGAUGGUGCCCUUACUGUCGAGAAAGGAGAUAAUCAUGAGCUUCCCAGUGGACUUGUUUGACUUGUCCUCUUGUGUCAAUGAUAAACAGCUGCUCGACUCAUACAAGUUAACCUAUAAGCACCCUGGAGUGCAAUUCAUAAGUUUCUGUUGUGUUUUUUUGCCCAGUUCAACACAAAACUUUAUUGCAUAGCGAACUUCCAAAUUGUCUUCAUGUCCCGACUGUAUUCUACUAAAUAGUCAGCUGUGAAAAGUAAUGUUUAGUAAGGUGUCCUCAAAGUAAUGUUACAGUUGUCUUCUUCAUUUUGGAAUAACGAAAGUUGGCAGCACAGUCUGUUAGAUGUCUAAUAAUAAUAAUAAACUAAAAUUACAGUAAUUUAGGACUGUUUAUAACUGCUUCUCCUAAAAGCAGUCUCAAACCUGCUGAACUGUACUUCGUAUUUGCAUAUUAGCAUGUCAUGUGCUGAAUAGAUAA